Molecule: ribosomal RNA, 484 nt
Filed under: uncultured bacterium
Lineage: Bacteria
Description: bacterial SSU rRNA
Rfam family: Bacterial small subunit ribosomal RNA
Source: RNAcentral
AUUGAACGCUGGCGGCAUGCCUUACACAUGCAAGUCGAACGGCAGCGCGUCCUUCGGGAUGGCGGCGAGUGGCGAACGGGUGAGUAAUACAUCGGAACGUGCCCGAGAGUGGGGGAUAACGCAGCGAAAGCUGUGCUAAUACCGCAUACGAUCUCAGGAUGAAAGCAGGGGACCGCAAGGCCUUGCGCUCACGGAGCGGCCGAUGGCAGAUUAGGUAGUUGGUGGGAUAAAAGCUUACCAAGCCGACGAUCUGUAGCUGGUCUGAGAGGACGACCAGCCACACUGGGACUGAGACACGGCCCAGACUCCUACGGGAGGCAGCAGUGGGGAAUUUUGGACAAUGGGGGAAACCCUGAUCCAGCCAUGCCGCGUGCAGGAUGAAGGCCUUCGGGUUGUAAACUGCUUUUGUACGGAACGAAAAGGUCUUUUCUAAUAAAGAAGGCUGAUGACGGUACCGUAAGAAUAAGCACCGGCUAACUACGUG